CUAGUUGUACGAAUUCAUAUUCGUAGCAGAUAGCUCAGUAACACGUGGCCAAACUACCCUAUAGACCAGAAUAACCUCGGGAAACUGAGGCUAAUGCUGGAUACUCCUCUAUUCCUGGAAUGGAUUGAGGCACAAACGCUCCGGCGCUAUAGGAUGUGGCUGCGGCCGAUUAGGUAGACGGUGGGGUAACGGCCCACCGUGCCAAUAAUCGGUACGGGUUGUGAGAGCAAGAGCCCGGAGACGGAAUCUGAGACAAGAUUCCGGGCCCUACGGGGCGCAGCAGGCGCGAAAACUUUACACUGCACGACAGUGCGAUAAGGGGACUCCGAGUGCGUGGGCAUAGUGCCCUCGCUUUUGUGUACCGUAGGGAGGUACACGAAUAAGAGCUGGGCAAGACCGGUGCCAGCCGCCGCGGUAACACCGGCAGCUCGAGUGAUGACCGAUAUUAUUGGGCCUAAAGCGUCCGUAGCCGGCCAGGCAAGUCUGUUGGGAAAUCUGCUCGCUCAACGAGCAGGCGUCCAGCAGAUACUGCUUGGCUCGGGACCGAGAGACUCAAGGGGUACGUCUGGGGUAGGAGUGAAAUCCUGUAAUCCUGGACGGACCGCCGAUGGCGAAAGCACCUUGAGAGAUCGGAUCCGACGGUGAGGGACGAAAGCUGGGGUCACGAACCGGAUUAGAUACCCGGGUAGUCCCAGCUGUAAACGAUGCCAGUUAGGUUUGACGCGGGCUACGAGCUCGUGUUGUGCCGCAGUGAAGACGAUAAACUGGCCGCCUGGGAAGUACGUCCGCAAGGAUGAAACUUAAAGGAAUUGGCGGGGGAGCACUACAACCGGAGGAGCCUGCGCUUUAAUUGGAUUCAACGCCUGGGAAUCGAAUUCCCGCGGGCC
This 887-nucleotide ribosomal RNA is filed under the name uncultured archaeon. Its description in RNAcentral is "bacterial SSU rRNA". It matches the Rfam family "Archaeal small subunit ribosomal RNA", at positions 54 to 941 of the family's 1478-position model. The record is from RNAcentral.